RNAcentral lists this small RNA (715 nucleotides) under Pongo abelii (Sumatran orangutan). RNAcentral describes it as "retained intron". Lineage: Eukaryota; Metazoa; Chordata; Mammalia; Primates; Hominidae. The record is from RNAcentral.
AGGCGUAAGUCACCAGUAAGAUGUGCAGGUGUAAAGCCUGUGCCUUGUAACUGCAACCCUCCAGUGCCCACAGUAUCUUCCAGAGGACAAGAACAAGCCGUAAGAAAGAGCGAAAAGGAAAGGAUGAGAGAAUACCAACAAGAACUAGAAGAAAGAGAAGAAAAAUUAAAAAAGAGGCCACUGCUAUUUGAAAGAGUUGCUCAGGUUGUGUUUAUUGGAAUUUAAGAGCUAUUGUCAGUUUUUUUGUUUUGUUUUGUUUUGUUUUGUUUUUACAGCUUUAGCUCCUAAAUUUACAGUCCAUUUUUCUUAUGUGUUAUGUAACUGUUGAGAUACAUUAUUGUUGUUUGUGUUGGCUUCAUCAUAUCAGCCAAUGAGUAAUUUUGCUUAAAUCUGAGCAUUUAGCCAGGUGUAGUGGUGUGCACCUGUAGUCCCAGCUACUUGGGAGGCUGAAGUGGGCAGAUUACUUGAGCCCAAGAGUUUUGGUCCAACCUGUGCAAUGUAGCAAGACCUCAUCUCAAAAAAAUAAUCUGAACAUUGAAUCUUUUUGAUGAAGCACAUAAGUUUGAUAAAUAACAUGUCAAUCCAGUAGUUCGUAAAAUAAUUUUGCAAGCUGGUUUCUAAUGGCUGGUCUUUUUUCAGUACAAACUUGGUUAGAUAUUAAAAUGAGGCUUCAUGAUAUCACUUGGAGGUCUUUGAAGAAUUAAAAAAAUGAAAC